AGUGAACGCUGGCGGUAGGCCUAACACAUGCAAGUCGAACGGCAGCACAGUAAGAGCUUGCUCUUACGGGUGGCGAGUGGCGGACGGGUGAGGAAUACAUCGGAAUCUACUUUUUCGUGGGGGAUAACGUAGGGAAACUUACGCUAAUACCGCAUACGACCUACGGGUGAAAGCAGGGGAUCUUCGGACCUUGCGCGAUUGAAUGAGCCGAUGUCGGAUUAGCUAGUUGGCGGGGUAAAGGCCCACCAAGGCGACGAUCCGCAGCUGGUCUGAGGGGAUGAUCAGCCACACUGGAACUGAGACACGGUCCAGACUCCUACGGGAGGCAGCAGUGGGGAAUAUUGGACAAUGGGCGCAAGCCUGAUCCAGCCAUACCGCGUGGGUGAAGAAGGCCUUCGGGUUGUAAAGCCCUUUUGUUGGGAAAGAAAAGCAGCAGGUUAAUACCCCGCUGUUCUGACGGUACCCAAAGAAUAAGCACCGGCUAACUUCGUG
RNAcentral lists this ribosomal RNA (492 nucleotides) under uncultured bacterium. Its description in RNAcentral is "partial 16S ribosomal RNA". It matches the Rfam family "Bacterial small subunit ribosomal RNA", at positions 29 to 507 of the family's 1533-position model. The record is from RNAcentral.